RNAcentral lists this ribosomal RNA (491 nucleotides) under uncultured bacterium. RNAcentral's name for it is "partial 16S ribosomal RNA". It matches the Rfam family "Bacterial small subunit ribosomal RNA", at positions 29 to 507 of the family's 1533-position model. The record is from RNAcentral.
AGUGAACGCUGGCGGUAGGCCUAACACAUGCAAGUCGAACGGCAGCACAGUAAGAGCUUGCUCUUACGGGUGGCGAGUGGCGGACGGGUGAGGAAUACAUCGGAAUCUACUUUUUCGUGGGGGAUAACGUAGGGAAACUUACGCUAAUACCGCAUACGACCUACGGGUGAAAGCAGGGGAUCUUCGGACCUUGCGCGAUUGAAUGAGCCGAUGUCGGAUUAGCUAGUUGGCGGGGUAAAGGCCCACCAAGGCGACGAUCCGUAGCUGGUCUGAGAGGAUGAUCGGCCAACCUGGAACUGGGACACGGUCCAGACUCCUACGGGAGGCAGCGGUGGGAAAUAUUGGACAAGGGGCGCAAGCCUGAUCCAGCCAUACCGCGUGGGUGAAGAAGGCCUUCGGGUUGUAAAGCCCUUUUGUUGGGAAAGAAAAGCGGCAGGUUAAAACCCCGCUGUUCUGACGGUACCAAAGAAUAAGCACCGGCUAACUUCGUG